GGCCACUCCAGUGACCGAAUCUCUGGAGUAUCUGAGACCACAAAGCUCCGGAUCUACAAUACAAUUGCUCUGGGCGCCAGCGCUGUAUUUCUAGCUGCUCUUGGUUUUGUGAAGGAAGGCCAAGGACUGACUGGCCUGAUACUCAUGACUGUAGCAACCGCGAUGUUCGGAUUCAAUGGUGGAGGUUUUAUUAAGGUACUCUACAAAUAAUUGAAUAAAAAAUAAAAAAUAAAAAAUAUAAAAUUCCAGUGCGCCGCCCUUGUCUCCCGACAGCACAAUCAUUUUGUCAUGGCAAACGUCCAGUUUCUGCUGUGCCUCUCGAUGCUUCUCUGUCCAAUACUAGUAUCAUUUUUGCUUCGACACGGAACUAUAGCCGAAUGGAGAUUGGUUUUCUUUGUUCACGCCGGAAUUCUUGCAGUUUGUAAUCUUAUAUUUUGUCUGUUGGCCACUGCAAAACCGGCUCCAUGGACAGAUCGGACGUUGAAGCCAUCGGCGUCGAGAAACACACCAUUGUAUACAAUAAAGUAUUGAUUGGAAUGUAAUAUGAACAUUAUUUCGAAAUCAAAAUCUAGAUAGCAAAUGAAUAGAAUUGUCCAGCUUUUAAAGGCGGAGUAGCGCCAGUGGGGAUUUUGUCUAAGUGCACUUAUAAUGAUCUAAAACAACCGGAUAUCAUAAUAAAACUCUCCAAAAAAUUAUAUAUUUUUCAUAAUUUCCGGCCAAAGUUUUGGCUAAUUGCCAAAAUUUAGAAAAAUACGAGCUUUUAAGGAAAUUUAAAGAAAUGUCGCAUGUUUCGACCCCUACAAUGUUUUAAUACAAAUAAUUUAAACAAAAUUAAAACAUAAAAAAUGUAGAAAAAAAAAAUUUUUUUUUGGUCGAUUUCCAAAAUUAUGAGUGGCAAAAACUGAGUAAUUGACACUUUCUGACAGUAAAUAAAAAAUUCUCAGAAAAUUUUUGAAAAGUUUUAUCAUGAUAUAUGGUCAUUUUAGGACCAAAGGAGUGGUUUUUAACAAUUUCCCCACUGGCGCUACUCCACCUUUAAGGAAACCAUCCAAAAAUUAGAGAACUUGAAAGUAUAUUUACAUUGAAUUCCAACUGAAGAUUUUUAGUUUAAAGGUGGAGUACCGAAGUUUGAGACUUUAUUUUUUUAGACCCAAAUUGGUCCAAAACUACCGAAUUUCGUAAUGAGACGUUCUGAAAACUUCUCAAAAAAAAAGUUAUGGCGGCUCAAAGUUCGGCAAAAUCAGGCCCGUUUUUAGCUAAAAUCAAAUUUUUUUCCAACUUCUCGGUGUCGCAACGUCUGGAACUAACUUUAAUUUAUUCAUCACUUCUUAAUAAAUAUUUUGGUUUUUGAGUGGGCGUUUAUUCAUUGAUUUAAGUACAUUUAUGGUCUUUGGGGCACAAAAUGUAACGUUUAUUUGAAGAUGGAAAAAAAUUUGAUUUUAGCUGAAAACUGGCCUUAUUUUGCCGAAUUUCGAACCGCCAUAACUUUUUUUUUGCGAAAUUUUCAGAACGUCUCAUUACGAAAUUCGGUAGUUUUGGACCAAUUUGGGUCUAAAAAGGAAAAGUCUCAAAUUUCGGUACUCCACCUUUAAUAAAAAAAAUUAAUUUUUAUUGAGACAUUUUCAAUUUUACGUUCUACAGUUGUUAUUACAAAUUUCAUAAAGUAUAUAAUUUUCUCAAAUAUUUCAGAGUCUCUAAUAUAUUUUUAGAAGAUUCCAAAUUUCCCUAAAAAUUUCAAAAGAUUCUAGAACGUCUGUGCAAAAAAUGGUGGCACAAAAAUUUUGGAUUUUUGGCAGAAUUUUUAUGGGAUUCCAUAGGAAAUUAAAAAAUAUUUGAGAUUUUAGCUAAAAGUAAGCCAUUUUUUCCAAAACUUUGAGCGGUCAUAACUUUUUUUUUCGAAAAUUUUCACUUUGAAAUUCGGUAGUUUCGGACCAUUUUGGGUCUAAAAAUGGCAAAUUCUCAAAUUUCGGUACUCCACCUUUAACUGCCAGUAUGGUCUAAUCUCGUCUAACACAGUCUAAUUCCAGGCACCAACAAGCUGGUAAAGUCCUCGGAGCUUCUCGAAAUCCAACGAGGAAAGUCCGACGCAGCAAAUGGCAAGCGAGAGGCGACACCUUACCUGGAAAUUCUCACAACUCCAUCUGUCUGGGGUAUAUGGAUUGGUGCUCUGGGAGAUCUUAUAGCCGUCCAACUGAUUCACAUCUACUCACCUGUCUAUUUACACGAUAUUGGAGGCUAUUCAGUGGAGAAGACCGGCUUUGCAGCGGCCGUACCGGUGCUGUUUCAGUUUUUCAUGAAGCUUUUUGCAG
Molecule: small RNA, 2309 nt
Filed under: Caenorhabditis elegans
Lineage: Eukaryota; Metazoa; Nematoda; Chromadorea; Rhabditida; Rhabditidae
Description: Unclassified non-coding RNA C14A6.18
Source: RNAcentral